Molecule: ribosomal RNA, 1140 nt
Filed under: Vibrio parahaemolyticus
Lineage: Bacteria; Pseudomonadati; Pseudomonadota; Gammaproteobacteria; Vibrionales; Vibrionaceae
Description: partial 23S ribosomal RNA
Rfam family: Bacterial large subunit ribosomal RNA
Source: RNAcentral
GCUGCAACUGUUUAUUAAAAACACAGCACUGUGCAAAAUCGUAAGAUGACGUAUACGGUGUGACGCCUGCCCGGUGCCGGAAGGUUAAUUGAUGGGGUUAGACUUCGGUCGAAGCUCUUGAUCGAAGCCCCGGUAAACGGCGGCCGUAACUAUAACGGUCCUAAGGUAGCGAAAUUCCUUGUCGGGUAAGUUCCGACCUGCACGAAUGGCGUAAUGAUGGCCACGCUGUCUCCACCCGAGACUCAGUGAAAUUGAAAUCGCUGUGAAGAUGCAGUGUACCCGCGGCUAGACGGAAAGACCCCGUGAACCUUUACUACAGCUUGGCACUGAACAUUGACCCUACAUGUGUAGGAUAGGUGGGAGGCUUUGAAGCAGGUACGCCAGUAUCUGUGGAGCCGUCCUUGAAAUACCACCCUUGUAGUGUUGAUGUUCUAACGUCGACCCCUAAUCGGGGUUGCGGACAGUGCCUGGUGGGUAGUUUGACUGGGGCGGUCUCCUCCCAAAGAGUAACGGAGGAGCACGAAGGUGGGCUAAUCACGGUUGGACAUCGUGAGGUUAGUGCAAUGGCAUAAGCCCGCUUGACUGCGAGAAUGACAAUUCGAGCAGGUGCGAAAGCAGGUCAUAGUGAUCCGGUGGUUCUGAAUGGAAGGGCCAUCGCUCAACGGAUAAAAGGUACUCCGGGGAUAACAGGCUGAUACCGCCCAAGAGUUCAUAUCGACGGCGGUGUUUGGCACCUCGAUGUCGGCUCAUCACAUCCUGGGGCUGAAGUCGGUCCCAAGGGUAUGGCUGUUCGCCAUUUAAAGUGGUACGCGAGCUGGGUUUAGAACGUCGUGAGACAGUUCGGUCCCUAUCUGCCGUGGGCGUUGGAAGAUUGAAGGGGGCUGCUCCUAGUACGAGAGGACCGGAGUGGACGAACCUCUGGUGUUCGGGUUGUGUCGCCAGACGCAUUGCCCGGUAGCUAAGUUCGGAAUCGAUAACCGCUGAAAGCAUCUAAGCGGGAAGCGAGCCCUGAGAUGAGUCUUCCCUGAUACUUUAAGUAUCCUAAAGGGUUGUCGGAGACUACGACGUUGAUAGGUCAGGUGUGUAAGUGCUGUGAGGCAUUGAGCUAACUGAUACUAAUUGCCCGUGAGGCUUAACCAU